Molecule: small nucleolar RNA, 124 nt
Organism: Erinaceus europaeus (western European hedgehog)
Lineage: Eukaryota; Metazoa; Chordata; Mammalia; Eulipotyphla; Erinaceidae
Source: Ensembl
ACUGCCACAGAAGCAUUACAGAUGUGGCUGGUAUGUCACGUGUGUCAUUAGAUGGUAGAGGAGAGAUGUGUCUCCACCCAGUGUUCUGACCUGUGAACACCUGGACGACUGAUAAUCUGACACA